CGACCUCCCCCCUCCCCCUUAGUUUCGUUUUAAGCAUUCUGGCUCCGGCAACCGGGUUUUGUGGCUGUUGUCCAGGCUCAUUGGGUCUCGGCUUUAGGCGAGCCCCAUAGGCAGAUGUCAGUCCUGGACGAAUGGCGUCAUCUGUCCAAGCGGUCCAGGCAGUUCAUGAGAGGAUGGGGUGCUAACAUUGGGAGGGACCUUCGGGUCCAAAAGGCCUCCCUCCUUGAGGAGAUCCGAGCCCUUGACCUUCGCACAGAUAUUUCAGGGAUCUCCGCUGAAGAGUGGGCUCAUAGGUAUAAUCUGGAAGACUCUCUCAUGGAGCUCUAUUCCAAGGAGGAGGAGUUUUGGCGCGAGCGGGGGUCUUUUAAUUGGGUGCUAUUUGGCGAUGCCAACACGACCUACUUCCAGGCCAUCGCUAAUGGCCAUCGGAGACGCUACUCCAUUCCCCUCUUAUGGGAGGGAGGUCAGCUCUUUCAGGACCCCCCAGCUAUUCGCUCGCUCGUGGAUGACUUCUACAAGUCAUUAUUUGCGGGGCGCCCUAGGGGUGGGAACACCCUUGCUGACCACAUCUGGUCGUCCGAACAACGAAUCCCCCAAGAGGAGAAUGCCCUUCUCGCCCCUUUUGAUGCUUCGGAGGUGGAGACUUUCAUCAAAGCCAUGAAUCCGGCCUCGGCUCCGGGCCCCGAUGGCCUACCGGUUCGUUUUUUCCAGGCUUUCUGACCGAUGGUCAAGGAGAUUAACCUUGACCUGUUCCGUGAGUUCUCUAGGGGAACAUUAGACUUGUCCCGGCUUAACUACGGGAUCAUCUCCCUGAUCCCCAAGGUGCCGGGAGCUACUGACAUUAGGCAGUUCUGCCCUAUCACAGUUCUUUAUGUCAUAUUUCAGAUUCUGGCCAAGGGGUGCGCCACUAGGGUGGCCCUGAUUGCCCCCGGAUUCACCACCCGAACCAGUCGGCCUUCACCAAAGGCAGGUAUAUUCUGGAUGGGAUCCUCGUUCUCCACGAGGUCAUCCAUGAGGUCAAGAGCAAGCAUCUUCACGCGGUGCUCUUCAAAAUUGACUUUCAUAAAGCAUAUGGCACAGUCCACUAGUCCUUCCUUCGGGAAGUAUUGCUCAAGCGUGGGUUCGACUCCCACUGGGUAG
This 1140-nucleotide ribosomal RNA is filed under the name Triticum aestivum (bread wheat). Its description in RNAcentral is "partial small subunit ribosomal RNA". Lineage: Eukaryota; Viridiplantae; Streptophyta; Magnoliopsida; Poales; Poaceae. The record is from RNAcentral.